GUGCUCGCUAUGGUGGCACAUAUACUAAAAUUGGAUCGACACAGAGAAGAUUAGCAUGGCCCCUGUGAAAAGGA
Molecule: small nuclear RNA, 74 nt
Organism: Danio rerio (zebrafish)
Lineage: Eukaryota; Metazoa; Chordata; Actinopteri; Cypriniformes; Danionidae
Source: Ensembl